GACGAACGCUGGCGGCGUGCUUAACACAUGCAAGUCGAGCGGUAAGGCCCUUUCGGGGGUACGACGAGCGGCGAACGGGUGAGUAACACGUGGGUGACCUGCCCUUAGCUCUGGGAUAAGCCUGGGAAACGUGGGUCUAAUACCGGAUAUGACUCCAUGACGCAUGUUGUGGGGUGGAAAGCCUUGUGCGGCUAGGGAUGGGCCCGCGGCCUAUCAGCUUGUUGGUGGGGUGAAGGCCUACCAAGGCGACGACGGGUAGCCGGCCUGAGAGGGCGACCGGCCACACUGGGACUGAGACACGGCCCAGACUCCUACGGGCGGCAGCAGUGGGGAAUCUUGCGCAAUGGGCGAAAGCCUGACGCAGCGACGCC
This 371-nucleotide ribosomal RNA is filed under the name uncultured bacterium. RNAcentral describes it as "bacterial SSU rRNA". It matches the Rfam family "Bacterial small subunit ribosomal RNA", at positions 28 to 398 of the family's 1533-position model. The record is from RNAcentral.